RNAcentral lists this ribosomal RNA (536 nucleotides) under uncultured marine bacterium. Its description in RNAcentral is "bacterial SSU rRNA". It matches the Rfam family "Bacterial small subunit ribosomal RNA", at positions 1 to 526 of the family's 1533-position model. The record is from RNAcentral.
AUUGAAGAGUUUGAUCAUGGCUCAGAUUGAACGCUGGCGGCAGGCCUAACACAUGCAAGUCGAGCGGCAGCGGGAAAGUAGCUUGCUACUUUUGCCGGCGAGCGGCGGACGGGUGAGUAAUGCCUGGGAAAUUGCCCAGUCGAGGGGGAUAACAGUUGGAAACGACUGCUAAUACCGCAUACGCCCUACGGGGGAAAGCAGGGGACCUUCGGGCCUUGCGCGAUUGGAUAUGCCCAGGUGGGAUUAGCUAGUUGGUGAGGUAAUGGCUCACCAAGGCGACGAUCCCUAGCUGGUCUGAGAGGAUGAUCAGCCACACUGGAACUGAGACACGGUCCAGACUCCUACGGGAGGCAGCAGUGGGGAAUAUUGCACAAUGGGGGAAACCCUGAUGCAGCCAUGCCGCGUGUGUGAAGAAGGCCUUCGGGUUGUAAAGCACUUUCAGCGAGGAGGAAAGGUCAGUAGCUAAUAUCUGCUGGCUGUGACGUUACUCGCAGAAGAAGCACCGGCUAACUCCGUGCCAGCAGCCGCGGUAAUAC